Molecule: long non-coding RNA, 117 nt
Organism: Etheostoma spectabile (orangethroat darter)
Lineage: Eukaryota; Metazoa; Chordata; Actinopteri; Perciformes; Percidae
Exons: 3
Source: RefSeq, a predicted model, not a curated record
AUUAUUAAACUUUUUGCAAAUCACACAGUGUGCAGGAGUUUUCUUUGCAACUUUUGACCUGCUUGUCCCCCUCCGACGCACCUGUCUCACGUUGUAGAUGAAAAUGGAUUUGUAUGA